Long non-coding RNA from Leopardus geoffroyi (Geoffroy's cat), 260 nucleotides. RefSeq lists it as uncharacterized. The record is from RefSeq and is a predicted model, not a curated record. NCBI's taxonomy places the organism in Eukaryota, Metazoa, Chordata, Mammalia, Carnivora, Felidae. The transcript is spliced from 3 exons.
AGGACAAAGGGGCAAAUCAGCAUAUGAUGAGUGUUGGGGCUUCAGGACAAUACAAGGAAGUUUGGCUGUGAAGAAUUCGUUUGGAUGUUAAUUUUCAUGGACAAUUGACAGACACUAAUGCUGGAAGCCGAGCCACCCCAGCCUGAGUGGCAAAGCCUGGGCUGUGGACGGAUUGGUGACUGCAAGGCGGCCAACCGACACUGAAGCUUCUUGUACUCCUGCUUUUAGGUAAUUUGGCCUUAAAACUACCAGGGGUAUAG